Molecule: ribosomal RNA, 495 nt
Filed under: uncultured bacterium
Lineage: Bacteria
Description: partial 16S ribosomal RNA
Rfam family: Bacterial small subunit ribosomal RNA
Source: RNAcentral
GACGAACGCUGGCGGCGUGCCUAAUACAUGCAAGUCGAACGCUGAAGGAGGAGCUUGCUCUUCUGGAUGAGUUGCGAACGGGUGAGUAACGCGUAGGUAACCUGCCUGGUAGCGGGGGAUAACUAUUGGAAACGAUAGCUAAUACCGCAUAACAGUAGAUGUUGCAUGACAUUUACUUAAAAGGUGCAAUUGCAUCACUACCAGAUGGACCUGCGUUGUAUUAGCUAGUUGGUGGGGUAACGGCUCACCAAGGCGACGAUACAUAGCCGACCUGAGAGGGGGAUCGGCCACACUGGGACUGAGACACGGCCCAGACUCCUACGGGAGGCAGCAGUAGGGAAUCUUCGGCAAUGGACGGAAGUCUGACCGAGCAACGCCGCGUGAGUGAAGAAGGUUUUCGGAUCGUAAAGCUCUGCUGUAAGAGAAGAACGAGUGUGAGAGUGGAAAGUUCACACUGUGACGGUAUCUUACCAGAAAGGGACGGCUAACUACGUG